This is a long non-coding RNA of Plodia interpunctella (Indianmeal moth), 723 nucleotides long. RefSeq lists it as uncharacterized. NCBI's taxonomy places the organism in Eukaryota, Metazoa, Arthropoda, Insecta, Lepidoptera, Pyralidae. The transcript is spliced from 2 exons. The record is from RefSeq and is a predicted model, not a curated record.
CAAAAAUCUGCAGUUUUUCGCGAUUUCACGGCUGCUAACAUGCGAAACGUUAUUGAGUAUCAUGGACUGAGCAGACAAAAUAUCAAAGUAUAAAAUAUCAUUCUGUAGUUACAUAAAAAAUAGUACAGUCAACCAGUUUCGUAGGAUUGUAUAGUUAAUUCGUUUUAUUCUGCCAAACUGCUAAUCGCGCAAACAAUUCAAUAUUCUUUCAUUAAUUAACAGAUGUGCGCGAUUCGAAUUGAAUUGGUCACAAAAAUGCGUAGGCAUCCACUUUUAUUACGAUAAACAACCGGUCCACUCACAGAAAUACAUAUAGUUGAUAGUUAAGUUAUAAAUGGCACCAACCCAAAAACCGGCAGAAGAUUGUUCGGUGUCACCCAUUAAAAAUGCAAACACUGUGGAUGAUUUUAGCGAUAAAUUUUUCAUUUUUAUAUCUAUUAUGCGUUUCUGAGCCGAAUCGCGAUUUGUGCACGCAAGUAUAUAAAAAACAUGACGGAUCUCUUCUUCUGUAUAUGCUUGACCUUAAAAACAACGUCAAAACACCAGAAGAAAUCAAAAAAGGAAUCGCCGAAAACGACAAGUCUGCCGCAGAGUGUUUCUCAUACAUAAUUAGCCCUCCACCAAAUAGUGAGAAUCGCAUUUUGACCAGACGUUACUAUUCGUAUUAUCCGUAUUAUGGUUGGUGGCUAGUGGGUUAAGUAGAUUAAAUGUUGGUCUAUAUUA